ACGUAGGCAGCGAGCGUUGUUCGGAGUUACUGGGCGUAAAGAGUGCGUAGGCGGUUUUCUAAGUUUGGUGUGAAAUCUCCCGGCUUAACUGGGAGGGUGCGCCGAAGACUGGAAGGCUUGAGUAUGGGAGAGGUAAGCGGAAUUCCUGGUGUAGCGGUGAAAUGCGCAGAUAUCAGGAGGAACACCGGCGGCGAAGGCGGCGCUCUGGGCCGGUACUGACGCUGAGGAGCGAAAGCGUGGGUAGCAAACAGGA
RNAcentral lists this ribosomal RNA (253 nucleotides) under uncultured prokaryote. RNAcentral describes it as "partial 16S ribosomal RNA". It matches the Rfam family "Bacterial small subunit ribosomal RNA", at positions 525 to 777 of the family's 1533-position model. The record is from RNAcentral.